AUGUUAUUAUUUUCCCAAAGUUGGUUCUUUCUUCAUUUUUGUUUUCCUCUUGCAGAGGCGAUCGUAAAAGUGAUGAAUGGGUCAUGUUCAUGUUGGUAUGAUGAAGCCUCCUGUGUGGCUUCCCCUACACCUCCGGUGGCUGUUCCUUCUAUGACUCCAGUGCAGGAAGCAACGGAGCAGCAGGAUAGCCGCCUCGCUCUCGCAGGGCUCGGGGUGACGAUGAGCUCCGGUGACCAUCUGUUGGCAGCGGUGAUGAAGCCUCCCGUGUGGCUUCCCCUGCACCUCGGGCGGCUGUUCCUUCUCUGA
Molecule: ribosomal RNA, 306 nt
Filed under: Triticum aestivum (bread wheat)
Lineage: Eukaryota; Viridiplantae; Streptophyta; Magnoliopsida; Poales; Poaceae
Description: partial small subunit ribosomal RNA
Source: RNAcentral